UACAGAGGGUGCAAGCGUUAAUCGGAGUUACUGGGCGUAAAGGGUGCGUAGGUGGGUGAUUAAGUUGGAUGUGAAAUCCCUGGGCUUAACCUGGGAAGGUCAUUCGAUACUGGUCAUCUAGAGUACUGUAGAGGGUAGUGGAAUUUCCGGUGUAGCGGUGAAAUGCGUAGAGAUCGGAAGGAACAUCAGUGGCGAAGGCGGCUACCUGGACAGAUACUGACACUGAGGCACGAAAGCGUGGGGAGCGAACAGG
This 253-nucleotide ribosomal RNA is filed under the name uncultured bacterium. RNAcentral describes it as "partial 16S ribosomal RNA". It matches the Rfam family "Bacterial small subunit ribosomal RNA", at positions 524 to 776 of the family's 1533-position model. The record is from RNAcentral.